UCUGAGCUGACAAUAUACGUGCUAAGUGCACUGAGCUGUGAGCCUUCCUUUCUGAUUUAUAGACAGUGCUGUUAGAGAAGGCACGUCUAACACAUAACGAGGAUGUGAUAGGAUGAAUUCCUUCACAACAACUGCUCUGCAGAGCAACAGGAAUGAGCCCCCUCAACGACCUCGAGGCAGCCAGGAGAGCACACUAAAGACACUCAUGAAAGAGGACCUCCAGAACUGCUGCAGAAAGUAGCAGGGACAAUGUGGUGAGCACGUUCAGAGUGACAGAGAGCAUGUUGAGAAUGAAUGGUAAUGUACUGAAGUUUUCAAUCG
RNAcentral lists this long non-coding RNA (321 nucleotides) under Chinchilla lanigera (long-tailed chinchilla). RNAcentral's name for it is "lncRNA (ENSCLAG00000024808.1)". Lineage: Eukaryota; Metazoa; Chordata; Mammalia; Rodentia; Chinchillidae. The record is from RNAcentral.